This 667-nucleotide ribosomal RNA is filed under the name Dignathia hirtella. Its description in RNAcentral is "eukaryotic LSU rRNA". The stretch from base 244 to 399 matches the Rfam family "5.8S ribosomal RNA". The record is from RNAcentral. Lineage: Eukaryota; Viridiplantae; Streptophyta; Magnoliopsida; Poales; Poaceae.
ACCUGCGGAAGGAUCAUUGUCGUGACCCUGACCAAAACAGACCGUGAACGUGUCAUCCAUGUCGCCGGGCGACGGGGUCGCACCUGUCUCCUGGUUCUGGCCAUCGACCUUCCUUCGGAGGGGAGUGGCCACAAAAGAACCCACGGCGCCGUAUGGCGUCAAGGAACACUAAGAUUGUCUUGCUCAUGGCCGUGGUCGGCUUGCCGGACGCAGCCUGAGCAGCGAUGCUAUGUUAAUCAACAUGACUCUCGGCAACGGAUAUCUCGGCUCUCGCAUCGAUGAAGAACGUAGCAAAAUGCGAUACCUGGUGUGAAUUGCAGAAUCCCGUGAACCAUCGAGUUUUUGAACGCAAGUUGCGCCCGAGGCCUUCUGGUCGAGGGCACGUCUGCCUGGGCGUCACGCCAAAAGACACUCCCCACCCAUCCCGGUGGCGGACGUGGUGUUUGGCCCCUCGUGCCGCAGGGUACGGUGGGCCAAAGCAGGGGCUGCCGGCGGUGCCGAUCACAGCACAAGGUGGAUGACGCAUGUUGUUCUCGGUGCUGUGACGUGAACCCGCAUUCGGCGAUGUCAUGGCCCUAUAGACCCAUGUACCGAGACGCAAGUCGCUCGGACCGCGACCCCAGGUCAGUCGGGAUUACCCGCUGAAUUUAAGCAUAUCAAUAAGCGG